This is an RNA transcript of Anopheles funestus (African malaria mosquito), 1855 nucleotides long. It is a transcript of the gene named transmembrane protein 18, with no coding region annotated. The transcript is spliced from 5 exons. Lineage: Eukaryota; Metazoa; Arthropoda; Insecta; Diptera; Culicidae. The record is from RefSeq and is a predicted model, not a curated record.
AUUGUGGUCAAUUUGUGAUAUCGUCGAAAAUAAUAAGAAAACAGGAAUGUUCGCACUGUUUGGAAAUACAAUAGUUUAUUUCGUUCCGUCAUAUAUGACUGUUCUGCAGCAUUGAAUCACCCUUCUGCAUCAGUUAUUAUUUUCUUCUGUUUUACAAGCCUUCAAACCUGAGGUUUAAACUGCUGAGUUUGAUUUGCUUUUGGGGGCUGUGUGGUUGACAUUUAAUCGAAACAACAAAUAAAACAACACCGCUGCCGAAUGAAAAAAAUGAAAAGAAUGGGAAGUGGAAACGUAAACACGUAGAAUUUUCAUCAACUUUUCGUCUCAUUUUUCAUCGCUUUACGCACGCAGCAACUGCCAGAAGGAUUUGCGAAGACCAUAGUUUAAGUUUCCCUUUGCUUGAAAAAGUUUCCUUCAGAAAAUUCUACUCGCGAUCGCGCUAAUACGGUCCGGAAAAAUACAACAGUUCCUGCAGCCCAGCAAGAAAUCGAUCGACAAGACAUUGUUUUUAGCAUUUUGGGUAGUAGAAACUGAUUCAUUUCACAAACGAUAGCCUUCCUUGUAGCAAUGGUGGAACCAACAUGGAUAGAAAUUAACGAAAUAAAGGGUUUUAUAACGUUUCUAGCAAGUAUCGAUUGGUAUGAUCCGUGGCUGAUAGGAUUAAUAGCGUUUCACGUAUGCAUCACAUCGACGGCACUACUCACCAGAAAUUAUGGAAAUUUUCAGGUUUUCCUAUUUUUCAUUCUCUUGCUAUUGGUGUACUUUUCCGAAAGCAUUAACGAAUAUGCGGCAAUCAAUUGGAGGAUUUUUUCCAAACAACAAUACUUCGACGAUAAGGGUUUAUUCAUAUCGGUUGUGUUUUCCGUGCCAAUACUUCUAAAUUGCAUGCUCAUGGUGGGAAGUUGGCUGUACCAAUCGACGCAGAUCAUGUCCAAGUUAAAAACUGCCCAGCUUAAGCAACAGAUACGACAAUCCAACAGCAGGCAACGAUUAAAGGAUGAAAAGGAGGAAUGAAAAAUGCAUCAGGUGUACCUUCGUUUUUUUCUGACUAACCCCGUCCAAAUAUGGUGCAGGGUUUGUGACAGAUUGGGGCUACAUAAGGCGUUAAAAUGGAGCAAAGCUCUUAGAAGGGUUAAACUACCGGCAGUUGAAUAGCCAAAUAGCCACACACCAACACAGUCUUGCUAAUAAUGCGUAGGUAUUUGCUUUAUUUACUUUACCGCAGAAUUUGUUACGAAGCGAAGAACUUUACUCACUAAAAUUUGUCAAGUGGAACAAGUGAGUCCCACGAACACGAUCAGAUCAAAAUGAGUUAAUUGCAUUGGCCACAAACAUCUAAACCAAGAAAAGCACAGCUAACGCGUGCAGCGUCUGUGUAUAAAACAAUCAUUUCGUCCACUACCACCAAUUCGUAAACGGCAAUCAUUUCCUAGUCAAUUUAGGUGCAGUCGGUCGGUUCCCGUCCUUGAAAUCAGAUAAAGAGGUUUGCAAUCUUAUGCCACUGGUAAUAUGAUAUUGCCUGUUGGGUAUUCGCGGAAGCAUAUGAGGUGGAAAAAUGCAAAUUCACUAUUCCAGAUAACGGCAUACGCAUUCAGGCCCUACGCACCGUAACUUAGCUAUUUUAUAGUGCUUUUGCUAAAUGACACGAUGAAAGAUGAUUACUAAUUUUUUACCACAUUUAUACACUUUCGUUUCUAUUCUUUGCCAAUUUACCAAGUUUGGGUCACGUUCGGUACCAGUUACAGUUGCCACAGUGUGUAGAUACAGAUCUGUAAAGUGGAUUAAAACCGCCAGCAACGAAAAUGCACGGGAAGAUGAUUUGCUAAAUAAAAUGGGAUGUAAUUUUAAAACCAUG